UACGAAGGGGGCUAGCGUUGCUCGGAAUUACUGGGCGUAAAGGGCGCGUAGGCGGAUGUUUAAGUCGGGGGUGAAAGCCCGGGGCUCAACCCCGGAAUUGCCUUCGAUACUGGACAUCUUGAGUACGGGAGAGGUGAGUGGAACUCCGAGUGUAGAGGUGAAAUUCGUAGAUAUUCGGAAGAACACCAGUGGCGAAGGCGACUCACUGGCCCGUUACUGACGCUGAGGUGCGAAAGCGUGGGGAGCAAACAGG
This 253-nucleotide ribosomal RNA is filed under the name uncultured bacterium. RNAcentral describes it as "partial 16S ribosomal RNA". It matches the Rfam family "Bacterial small subunit ribosomal RNA", at positions 524 to 776 of the family's 1533-position model. The record is from RNAcentral.